This 400-nucleotide ribosomal RNA is filed under the name uncultured bacterium. RNAcentral describes it as "bacterial SSU rRNA". It matches the Rfam family "Bacterial small subunit ribosomal RNA", at positions 355 to 746 of the family's 1533-position model. The record is from RNAcentral.
CCGAGAAUCUUCCGCAAUGGGCGAAAGCCUGACGGAGCGACGCCGCGUGUAGGAUGAAGGCCUUCGGGUUGUAAACUACUGUCACUUGGGAAGAAACUUAUUACGGUGAACAAUCGUAGUAAUUGACUGUACCGAGAGAGGAAGCCAUGGCUAACUCUGUGCCAGCAGCCGCGGUAAUACAGAGAUGGCUAGCGUUGUUCGGAUUGAUUGGGUGUAAAGGGUGCGUAGGCGGUUUGGAAAGUCGGAUGUGAAAUCCUAUGGCUUAACCAUAGAAUUGCAUUCGAAACUUCUAGACUAGAGUGCGAGAGAGGUAAAGGGAAUUCCCGGUGUAAGAGUGAAAUCUGUAGAGAUCGGGAGGAACACCAGUAGCGAAGGCGCUUUACUGGCUCGUAACUGACGC